GCGAUGAUGAUUUAUUUGGUUUUGAUCAGUAAUGAGAUGAAACUACACGACCAAUUCCUCUAAGAAGUUCUGAGCUC
Molecule: small nucleolar RNA, 77 nt
Organism: Labrus bergylta (ballan wrasse)
Lineage: Eukaryota; Metazoa; Chordata; Actinopteri; Labriformes; Labridae
Product: small nucleolar RNA SNORD61
Source: Ensembl